GACGAACGCUGGCGGCGUGCUUAACACAUGCAAGUCGAACGGAAAGGCCCUGCUUUUGUGGGGUUCUCGAGUGGCGAACGUGUGAGUAACACGUGAGUAACCUGCCCUUUACUUUGUGAUAACUUCUGGAAACUUUGGCUAAUACCUGAUAGGAUCUCCUGCUGCAUGGUGGGGGUUGGAAUGUUUCGGCGGUUUGGGGUGGACUCGCUGGUUAUCAGCUUGUUGGUGGGGUAGUUGCUUACCAAGGCUUUGACGGGUAGCCGGCAUGAGAGGGUGACCGGCAACAUUGGGACUGAGAUACGGCACAGAAUCCAACGGGAGGAAGCAGUGGGGAAUAUUGCACAAUGGGCGGAAGCAUGAUGAAGAAACGCCGCGUGCGGGAUGACGGCCUUCGGGUUGUAAACCGCUUUAGACUGUGACGAAGCGUGAGUGACGGUAAUGGGUAAAGAAGCACCGGCUAACUACGUG
This 468-nucleotide ribosomal RNA is filed under the name uncultured bacterium. Its description in RNAcentral is "partial 16S ribosomal RNA". It matches the Rfam family "Bacterial small subunit ribosomal RNA", at positions 28 to 507 of the family's 1533-position model. The record is from RNAcentral.